RNAcentral lists this ribosomal RNA (673 nucleotides) under uncultured bacterium. Its description in RNAcentral is "bacterial SSU rRNA". It matches the Rfam family "Bacterial small subunit ribosomal RNA", at positions 828 to 1510 of the family's 1533-position model. The record is from RNAcentral.
UGCGAUAUACAGCAAGCGGCUGAGCGAAAGCAUUAAGUGAACCACCUGGGGAGUACGMYCGCAAGKKUGAAACUCAAAGGAAUUGACGGGGGCCCGCACAAGCGGWGGAACAUGUGGUUUAAUUCGAUGAUACGCGAGGAACCUUACCUGGGCUUAAAUGCAGGAUGCUGUACCGGGAAACCGGUAUUCCCUUCGGGGCGUUUUGCAAGGUGCUGCAUGGUUGUCGUCAGCUCGUGCCGUGAGGUGUCGGGUUAAGUCCCAUAACGAGCGCAACCCUUACCGUUAGUUGCCAGCGGGUAAAGCCGGGGACUCUAGCGGGACUGCCACCGUAAGGUGAGAGGAAGGUGGGGAUGACGUCAAAUCAGCACGGCCCUUAUGUCCAGGGCUACACACGUGUUACAAUGGCCGGCACAAAGGGCAGCUACUGCGCGAGCAGAUGCGAAUCCCGAAAGCCGGUCUCAGUUCGGAUUGGAGCCUGCAACUCGGCUCCAUGAAGUUGGAAUCGCUAGUAAUCGGAUAUCAGCAACGAUCCGGUGAAUACGUUCCCGGGCYUUGUACACACCGCCCGUCAAACCAUGGAAGCCGGGGGUACCUGAAGUCUGUAACCGAGAGGAGCGGCCUAGGGUAAAUCCGGUAACUAGGGUUAAGUCGUAACAAGGUAACCAAGGGCGAA